This 5740-nucleotide long non-coding RNA is filed under the name Triticum aestivum (bread wheat). RNAcentral's name for it is "long non-coding RNA (TAES_LNC025130)". The record is from RNAcentral. Lineage: Eukaryota; Viridiplantae; Streptophyta; Magnoliopsida; Poales; Poaceae.
GGGCCGUCUGGCUGCAGGGCAUUGCCUCCCAUUCCUUGUGCCCAGUGCCACAUCUUUCCACCGCGCCCCAUCCAGCAGCCGCGCCGUCCCUAGUCGCUGGCCUUCUUCGGUUUGACCCCCUCAGUCCUCGUCGCUCGUCGGUGGAGGUAAUUAGCCAACUCCCGUGUUAAUUACUUUCUCAGGCAGCAAUUCGAAGAUGAAACCCUCACACAUGGUUUCUUCAGUAGGGAGAAGCAUGGCAGGUCAAGGAUGAGGACGGUGAUGAACCACGCGAACACCAGGCGCAGGCGGUUCAAUGUAAGCAGCAGCCUCUCCAUUGCAAAUUAUUUGAUGAUUUGGUGCAACGCCAUUACAUUAUAUGGUCAGUGGAAAACCAAAUGGGAUUGUGGUCAGUAGCAUAACUGAUGUAGUGAUGUAGUAUAUGGCUAGCUAAUUAACAGUCCAAGAGUAACCGAGUACAGUGUAGUUGGACAUUUUCAUGGCUUGGGUUCAUCGGCUGGCCCAGAAACAGAGCAGAUUGCCUACCAGUCAUUGUUAGACUUGGCAAAUUUACUCACUGAUUCCAGUUCUUGUCCAGUUAUUAACUUUUUCUCACAAAGCUCAUUUUGCCUAUCAAACCAUGGGCCAUCAUCUGAGUUCCUCCUCCUGCUCACCAUUCCCAACACAAGCAUAUGCCCUGCUGUUAUUAACAUCUGACUUGUAGUAUAGUUUUCCGAAGUUCAGAAAAAUAUUUUUGUUCUGGUGAGGCAUUGCACUGUUACUGUAGCUGCAGUCAGUGUGAUUGUGAUGAUUCCCCACAAAAAAUAAGAAAUGUGAUUGUGAUGAUGCUUUCAUCCCUAGCACACAGUUUUGUAAGCCCCAAACCUUGAAUAUUUAGAUUGAAAUUAUAGAAAAACCAUCUAGCUGCCAACAGAACAAAAAAAAUGCUUCCUUUCUUUACAUUUAGCAAAUUCCUAUUUAUAUAGCCUUUAAAAAUUUCUGAGUACGACUGGUUGAACAAUUGAAUGCCAUAUUUUCCAUCUUCUGAGGAAACCGAGCAAUCUUUUUAGACACAGGAACUUCAUAGACAUCACUACCUCCUCUGCCCUCUGGUCACCAUUGUAUACCAAAUAUCUCAUUGUGCAGAUUUUUUUUUUCUUCAAAAAACUCUGAAUUUCAGCAGUCCCCACAAAACAGCCAUUUUUCUGAAACAGAAGUUCUACUAUUGCAGAAGUGUGUGUAAAGUACAUUUUUUCCCCUCUUCUCAAAAGAAGAAAUUUUGUUAUAUCUGAAUGAUGGCCACUCCAUAUGAAACUGGAGUACUACAUAGGAUCUCUGAAGCAACAAAGAGAGCUUAGAGAUCAAUAAAGGAACUUCCUGCCUUCCCAAACCUAGUGGAUCAUUGUAAGGACAAAAUUUUAAACAUGCUAUUAAUUUUAAGUACAAUAACUAGAAACAGAUUUCCAUUGGAAGAAACUGGACAGAACAAUGAAAUUUAGUUAUUCAUAUGUUGCAGAGGCUCAGAGGCUGCUUGGAAUCUGCUCAAGACCUGGAUGUAUUUACUAACCAAAAUGUCUUAUUCACCAUGGCUCUGAUUCCUGUUCAACAGAGAAGGAUGGCCAGAGCCUCACUAUCUUGGGCUCUCUGGUCAAUAUCUAAAGAAUGCGGUCUAGGCAUCUUAAUAUAUCUGCAGCACUAAAGCAACAACAUCGACUUCACAUUGAUCAGGUCCUUGAAGUGCCUCCCUCGUGGCGAAUACAAUUACAGGGCUGGGAUAGUGUUAGGGUUAGAAGAACCUUCUGGGGGGAGCCCAGGAAAUAUGGAUCAAUAUCCAGGAUCUGUGUGACACUGAAUUGAUGAAAAUGAUAUAUGGGUGUAUUUACUGGACAAAUCUAGGAAAUUUACAGCUAACUUCUUACAUUUGCAAGCUGAGUCUCAAUCUGAGUUGCUCUUCAAUAUGAGCUCCUAUUCACAAUUUAACUAAAUAUCUGAAAUCUUUGGAUUGAACAUGUAGCAAAAUCCUCCCAGUCAUUGGAAAAAAAAAAGGGCAACCUGGUGCAUGUAGCUCCCGCUUGCGCAGGGUCCAGGGAAGGGUCCGACCACUUUGGGUCUAUAGUACGCAGCCUUUCCCUACAUUUCUGUAAGAGGCUGUUUCCAGGACUUGAACCCAUGACCUCAUGGUCACAAGGCAGCAGCUUUACCACUGCGCCAAGGCUCCCCUUCCCUCCCAGUCAUUGGAAACAAGAAAAAAUACAUAUCUCAUCUAUUAUCAACACUUUAGGUUAUCUGGAGUGUUAAAAAGGGCAAACAAUAUCAAUACAUGUAGCAUUUUACAGUUUUCUCAAAACGGCUUAGAAUAGGUUUGAGCCAUCUUUUAUCGUUUUGAGGAAAUCAAGCCGUACCUAGCGUCAUAAAAAGGCAGUGGAAAUGCUGCAGAACAUAAAGGAACUUGUUGUAACUAACAUACCAACUGAUUGAUGUCAAUUAGUUAGUCCCUCAGAUUGCCAAUUUGCUUUUACUCUGCAUUUCUCUGCUUUAUUGGAGCUAUGAGAAGUUUAAAACUUGUUAUUAAUUUCAACCAUGAUAGCUCAAAGCAGAUUUGUGUUACAAGGAAAACCUGAACAAAACAAUACAAAUAAGUUCAUCUGAUUGUAAUAAUUUGAGAAAAUACAGCAGUCCAUAGCUUUGCUUUACAUAAGAGAAUCCCCUACUUACAAUCUAAUUGGCUACCUUGUCAGGAUUGUCUCGUUUCACCUAGGGCCUGAUACAUCUGAGGCUAGAGGUGGAGCUGAAGACCUCACAUUUCCAGCACUACCAAAAUUUGCUGAAUUCACAACAAAGUUAUGAUCUAUGUUGAUGUCUAUAUUCAUGGCACCUUCCAAUACUUUUACUACCUCAGACAUUUUAGGCCUUCUUUUGCAAUCAAUCUGCAAGCACCACAUUGCAAGCAUGAUCAUCUGAAUUACAUCUUGCUUGUGUGCUUGCAUGUCGGUGCUGUUAUUGUCAAUCAAAUCUACCAACCGAUCACUCUUCACCUUUUCCUCCAAUAGGGUAAUGAGAUGAAUGCUCUCCUCUGACCGGGAAGUGUCAAGGUUCUUUCUUCCACUCAUGAUUUCCAUGACCACAAUGCCAAAGCUAUAGACAUCUGCCUUUUCCGUGAUCUGUGAUGUCAACCAUUCAGGAGCUAAAUACCCAGGUGUGCCUCUCAUUCUAGUAACCACUUGGCUCAUAUCCCUGUCAAUGAGCUUGCAUAGUCCAAAAUCAGAAAGUUUAGCAUUGAAGUUGUCAUCUAAGAGGAUGUUGUGUGGUUUGACAUCCAAAUGAGCAAUUCGUUUUGUGCACUCCUCGUGAAGAUACGUGAGGCCCUUAGCUAUAUGAGUGAUAAUCUUGCACCGUGUGCUCCAAUGUAGAGGAGGAGCAUCAUUGUCAUGUCGACAAUAGAUCCAUCUGUCCAAGGAUCCUUUGGGCAUGUACUCAUAUACCAAGAGCCUAUGGGAUUUCUCUGCACAGAAGCCAAUCAAUCUCACCAGGUUAAUGUGAUGAAUGCUGCCAAUUGUCUGAACCUCUGCCGAAAAUUCUGUUUUGCCUUGACCAGAUCGAUCCAAACGUUUUACCGCAAUCCUUUCAUCAGCAAAUUGACCCUUGAAAACAGACCCAAAUCCUCCUUCCCCGAGCUUGUCUUUGAACUGCUCGGUUGCUGCUUUUAGCUGUUGAAAUGUGAACCUCAUUGGUGUUCCUUGUAGCUCCCCAAACUCUUCCUCUUGUUCCAUCCCAUGCUGCCAUUGUGUUCUUCGUUUACGUAUGAAGAAACUGACGAGGAACAAGAUGGUGAAGAAAAUGAAGCCACCUACCGGAGCUAGAAUUGCGACAACUCUUCUUACAGAGGGGGGGUUUGGUUUCAUGCUUGUUGGCCCAAUAGCUGCAGGCAGAGUACUUGGGGUCGGUGGUGUUACCUCGGCCGGGGGCGCGGGCAGGGGACUGUCAGCUGUAGGUGACAGUGCAUUAAUCUGGGGACUUUCAGCUGUAGGCGUCAGUGCUUGAUUAAUCUGGGGACUUUGAGUUGUAGGCGAUAGUGUGUGAUUAAUCAGGGGACAGAAAACGACCUGGUAGUUGGUCCCCGACGGGCAAUUGAAAGUUCUGGUGGAACCAUCGUCGGGGUAGCUGUAGGCAUCUGGGCACAUCCGCUUAAAGAAUUUCGAGUAAUUUGUGGGGCUGCUUAUUGUGCUUCCAUUCAAGCAGUAUAUGUCCUGCUUGAACACUGUGCACGCGUUGUUACAACCCCCCGGAGCCUUCAGGUCGCCUGGGCACUGCGAUGUGAUGUUGGCUGCGCAGCGCAGCCCCUUGCCGCACCCUGACCUUCCCCGAACCAGCACCGGCAGUAACUCCAUGGGCACAUUGAAGCCGUCGAGGAGGGAGAUGUCGAAGAAGUCAUUCGUUUGGUCUUGGCCAAGCGUGAAUUCGCCCAGCGUGUUGGGCGGUUGACCAUUCCCCUUACAAACGAGCAAGCCGCCGCAACCGCCAGUUUGGCAUGACCCUAUGCCUUCGCCAUGGAAUGAACAGUCUGUGCGUGCCCAGAUGCGCCCGCCCAUGGUGCCAGCGGGAACGUCCAGCAGCCACGUCUCCCCCGGAUCGAGCUUCACGCCACCUCCAACUGGAAUAGCGGCUGGCCACACGGUGUAGGAGCAUCGGUUGAUGAUACUGAAUAUGGUGGCCUCGCUGGUGGCAGCGAGGAGAAGGAGAGGUAGGAGACAGAGAGCCGAAGAGGUACUCGCCGGUGCCAUUUGUUGUUUUUUCUGCUUGCUCCCGUUAACUUGAAUCAGAGUCUGAGUUUCCUAGCGCUAUUGCAAACUUGAGUCAGAGUCUGAGUGACAGCUAACAGGAUGGAAGAGUGGUAGGGGAUUGCAAAGUUGAAUCAGAGUCAAAGUUGACCGCAUCUGUGUGUUGAAUAAUUCAAUGGUCAGCAUAAAAACAGCCUAACAUACUCUGUAGUGAUGACUGUUUGAUAGGACCAGACUUGCUUGUUUGCUUGUUUAGUCCCUUGCAAAUUGUACCUGUACUGAGUCUUACCCCAAAAAGAAGGAAUCUGUAUAUGAGCAUAAUGUAUUGUUUGAUUAAUUUUGUUUCCUAACAAAAUUCUUUAAGCUGAUGUAGACUGAGAUUUUGUUUUAUGUUUGCCUUUCGUGAAAUCGUUAGAUUGCACAUCUUAAUUUGUUCAUUUCUGAUCUGCUGUCAUGAUUUUUUUUUCGCUACAGUCAGACCCAGAAUCUUGAGUCAGCAACCAUCUUGGUGGUUGGGGGCAAGCUGAAGUUGACAGCGGAUGUCAGCUGCCUGGAAGCAGCUGGAGGUCUCCUUCACUACUCUCUGGUUUGCGUGCAAACGAGAGUGGCGAAAACCUUGUGAUCUUUGCGAAAAUCUCUGUUGAUUGGUAGCUUUCUUUUAACACAUUUUGUGGCGCCCGAUCCUAAGGUUGCAUGACUUGUUUGGUUGCGCUGUUGGUAGAAUUGAAUCUCGCAGCUGGUAUUAGCUGAUUGUAAUUCAAUUUCCGAGUACUGGUAUGUACUACUACUACCUUGUCUCUUACAAAUUAAUUGAAGUUCUAGUUCUGUUCAUUUUUUAGCCUGGUACUACUGUCAAGAGGGGAAAACCAUCAUGCAUGGUUUAUUUUGGAAUUAUUAGUAAACAGUAAGCAUUGCAUUAACCUUACCAUCCAUAGGACAGACGUCAGCUUGACCAAGAUUUGAUCUUCAAAGUACUCUCAAGC